Molecule: ribosomal RNA, 268 nt
Filed under: uncultured bacterium
Lineage: Bacteria
Description: partial 16S ribosomal RNA
Rfam family: Bacterial small subunit ribosomal RNA
Source: RNAcentral
GUCCACGCUGUAAACGAUGACGACUAGGUGUGGGGUGGUUCAGUCCAUUCCGUGCCGCAGCUAACGCAUUAAGUCGUCCGCCUGGGGAGUACGGCCGCAAGGUUGAAACUCAAAGGAAUUGACGGGGCCGCACAAGCGGUGGAGCAUGUGGUUCAAUUCGAUGCAGAGCGAAGAACCUUACCUGGGCUUGACAUGUAGGAAGUAGAAACCCGAAAGGGGGACGGACCUGUUAAGUCAGGAGCCUACACAGGUGGUGCAUGGCUGUCGU